AUAAGCCCAUGGGCUUAUCCGCGGGAUUCUACGGUAGUACAAUCAUGUACCUAGUAUGGUUUGUUUACUUCUUCUCGCGAUGAUGUCUUUUUACCAGUGCAGUACCCAAGACAGAAGACUGCAAGAGUUUAUGGACUCUUGCCACUACUCGUACUACCGAGCACCCUGCUGUUUCUCGGCAGGUAAGUAGCUCAGCUUCUCAGUAUCGACGAAAGGAGUCUUGUGGAGUAGUGUGCGGCUGGCUCUGAGGAUUCUGGAGUCAGCGAAGUAACAAUUACAUUAAUUUUUGUUGUGUCAGAGUGUCCUUAUGAAUAUGAGACUGCGAAGUUGCUGCCGAUUCGAGAAAUCGCAGCUGGCUCUGACGCUGAGUGGACGCCGCUAGCGCGCUGGAGACAAGAAAGAGAGUUGCUCGGCGAGCGAAUAGCCAUUCGAGAGCGGAGUGGCCAAGACUCAGUCUGCACAAGACAAAGUAAAGGAUGUCCCUCCUGGUUACUAGCUCAGAGACAGCUAUUCGCCUAUUCUUUAGCUGUGAAACGAAGGGACGAUUCUUUAAGUGGAAGAACAAUCGUAGAUGUGCUGAUCUACAUGUACUUGCAUGUAGUAUCACCCAUUUAGCUGUGUUAUAGUGCUUGUAGAACUGAGUCCGUGGCAGUUGAGCCUCAUGAAGAAGAUCAGAGCAGAGUGUGAUAGGAUUAGCGCGACGUGGACAUUCGCCACUGGAAUAGGACAUCAUCUAUUAAUUUGCAUUAUGAACAAGUCACUGCCUAUCCCAAGCUCAAGUCUUCGAUUGCGUCAGUGCAGAAUUCCUGGCUGUAAUUGUGUGCAGCAUCCAAACGACAACAGCCAGUUCCAGAAAUUACACACUGAAGGCUUGCCGGUGUUCACUAAGCACUUCAAGUGUGUCCUGAGGCAGAACUGAAACGGCAUUGACAGAGUGUUACGUGAAGAAGACAGAGGUAUUACUAUUAGUCAGUAUCAGGAGUGUCAUACAACAUCAGGCAUUAUGGCAGAUAAGAGAUGAGACCAACAGGCUUGGCAACAUCAGCCAUAGCAAGAAUCACAGGCAUAACAAGAUCCGCAGUCAUAGCAGAAGCAACAGCCAUGGGAAGAGCAGGCAGCGUAGCAACAGCAAUCACAACAACGCAGACGCAAUAACAUUUUCAGUAGCCGUCCGUCUCAGUACUAACAGCAAAAUACAUAGCACGCUGAAUGAGCAGGAUUAUCGUUCCCAGGACGCAGGAGCAAAGCCCACAGCAGCAUUGCCGACGGCACCAGACCUGAGACUCAAUGUGUUGACUGGAGGAAGCCAAACCAGGGGUCGGUACGGCAGCAAUGACAGCAUGCGACGUGGCGAUGGGGAGAGCACACUGCCAUGCCGUGCAUCGUCCAUUGACCCUAUUCCCGAGUCGGAAGCCGACCCUCGCGGCUAUGGUGCGGCUGCAGAAGUCAAUCCCGGUGUGGGAAAGGACAGCACGAUAUCGCCACUGAGGUCACCGCCGUCCUGGUACAGUGACGAAGCUGCGCUACCUGCCAGUCUCGCCAAUCAACAUCUCAGCCAGUACAAUAGCCUGGUCCGGGGAAAUCGAACAGACGAUGGCAGCUAUCAGAAUAUUUCAAGCAUUCCGUCCCGGUACAAUGAGCAGCCAGAUGGUGCCUCACGGGCCCGACACCCAGUUAAACGGCAGGAGUCUCAGGAACAGGAGGUAGCACUGGCGAUCAGGGGAAUGAACAGCCACUCACGACAGGCCAUUGCUGCCCAGGCCAUGGACCAUUCGGAAACCCCAUCAGAGGACGGACAAGACUAUCAGACGGCAAGAAACGAGUCAGCGCAGAGCUCUCGGGCAGGUGCACACUCCCAGUAAUCUCAGCAGUCGCAGUCACUUGCAGCAGCAGCAGCCAGGCCGGUCGCCAGCGCAUCAGCUAUCACUGCACGACGUGGUGGGGUUCCUCAACAGCCGCGGUACGAUGGCUGUAGCCAACGCCGCUGGGUAUCUUUAGCAUGCAUCGUGUACCAAUCACCAUGUCAAAACUCAACUGAGGGAUCUUGGUGCCAUACCAGCCUUGGUCGGUCUCAUUUUGCAGAGAGAUGAAAUGGUGCAGCACGCUGCCGUGGGUGUGCUAAGAAACAUGUCCUACGGUCCUCACAGCGUCCUUAAUACGUAUGCUGUUUGUGAAGCAGGAGGCGUAGAGGUCCUUGUGCGGCUGUUGCGCAAUGCAAGGUCUUAAAAUCAAUUGACAUGUAUGGUAAAUGGCAUGGGUAUACAGGGCUCCUCUUCACGGAGCAACCACUUGUCUGUGUCAUCUGCAAACGGUCCGAUGGCCGGUAAUACCCAGUCAUUGCCGAACAGUCAUACUAGUGAUACACAUGGCCCGACUCCAACCAUCCCAGUCCAGCCGGUUGCCACAGAUUUCCUGCCCGCAUCCACGUCCACUCCGCACCCCAAUGUCCGGCAAGAGAACGGCCCAAUGCCAGGAGUUACGACGGGCCCACUGCCAGGAAUUACGAUAGGCUCGCUGCCAGGAGUUACGAUAGGCCCGCUGCGAUUGUCCCCGCCAAUGUCGUGUCGCCCACUCAUUUCGGCUUCAAAGGAUCCACUACUCCGUCGCUUCAGGUAAACACCAGUGGAUCAGUUUCAUCUCUAGGUACGGAUGUGUCGGCUAGUACGGCUUUGACUACAACCUCGGGUGCGAGGCAACCAGUGGCGGCUGCGGUGUCUUCUACAGCGCUAUCUCUGCCACAGUCGCAGCAGGUUCUUGCUGAUCUUUAGCAUGCUAUGUGUUGUGCGUGUGUGCGCGCGCGGACACGCAAACACAAUGCCAUGUGUUGUGCGUGCGUGUUGGGUUUGUGUGUGCGCGCGCACGCGCACAAUGCCAUGUGUUGUCCGGUGUGUGCGCGCGCAUGCGCACAAUGCCAUGAUGAGGGUGAGGGCAGUUUUGACAGUGGAUUGAACUGUAAGUCCGACUGUGAAUCGGACAGUGAGUCUGAAAGCUAAGGCUGGUGGACCGUACUAUUGAAGUUUUUGAAUUAAUUUUGAAUUGAUUUGAAUUUGAAUUGUACUUUUCAACUCUGCAGCAAAUGACAAAUAAUCUACUUCGCUAUUAUUUACAACAUCUUCCAUAUCGCUCGUUUGCCAAGAUCGGCUUAUGAUCGCUAUCACUCUGCCGUUUUUGGGUAUCCUUUGCUUCGCUCGUGCUAGGUCUCUUCCGCUGGUGUUGUCGAGAUAGUGUCCCAAUAAAUGAAAUCCUCUCAUA
Sycon ciliatum is the source of this 3252-nucleotide RNA transcript. RefSeq lists it as uncharacterized. The record is from RefSeq and is a predicted model, not a curated record. Lineage: Eukaryota; Metazoa; Porifera; Calcarea; Leucosolenida; Sycettidae. The transcript is spliced from 6 exons.